Small nuclear RNA from Myodes glareolus (Bank vole), 107 nucleotides. The record is from RefSeq and is a predicted model, not a curated record. NCBI's taxonomy places the organism in Eukaryota, Metazoa, Chordata, Mammalia, Rodentia, Cricetidae.
GUACUCACUUUGGCAGUACAUAUAAUAAAAUUGGAACGAUACAAAGAAGAUUAGUAUGGCCCCUGUGUAAGGAUAACACUCAAAUUCGUGAAACAUUCCAUAUUUUU